CCGCGCCCGCACCACGCCCGCACCGCCCGGGCACCGCGAGGCUCGGACCGGGGCUGGGCACGGGCUGGGGAUGGGGAUGGACCUGGGAAAGGUGUGAACGGAUUUUUGGAAGGAAACGUCUAAAUUGGAUGAAAAACCUUUAAUGCCGACAGCCGGAGCAGCUGGAAGGACAAAUAUAGCCGGAGAGGAGGAGGAGGAGGAGGAGGAGGAGGAGGACGGGGACGCGGUGGGAGGUGGUGGCCGUGCCGAGAGCGACACCUGGUGACAGCCACCCCCCCCCCCGGGCCACGUGUGAACACGCGUGUGCCACCCCAGGUGUGGGCACACCUUGGCACACCCUUCCAGCCGGGAUUUCCAGCGAGGCAGGCUCAGGGUGGAAAUCCCGAGGGAUGAGGGUGUCCCUCGGGGAUCUGCUCCAUGGGAAGGCUUCGUCCUUCAUCCUCAUCCUCAUCAUCCUCAUCCUCAUUCCACAUCCAUCCCCAUUCCCGGAGCAGCCCCGGGACGCUCCGGACAUCCCAACCCCGACGCUUUGAGGGCACUGCGGGGAUGAUGAUGAUGAUGAUGAUGAUGAAGAGCUGUGCCAGACCCUACAUUUGGAGCCGAGAAUGUCGGGAUGAAGCAGCCAGGAAUGUCGGGAUGGAGCAGAGCAGAAUCCAAGCGGGAAGAACCCAACGCUGGAGAUUUACAGCUCCGGCUCCGGGCAGCCCCCGGCCAUUUGGCACGGCAGCUGCUGCCGAGCAAGUUCAAUGCCAAAAUAAAUUAAAUGGGAUAAAA
This is a long non-coding RNA of Catharus ustulatus (Swainson's thrush), 774 nucleotides long. RefSeq lists it as uncharacterized. The transcript has 2 exons. Lineage: Eukaryota; Metazoa; Chordata; Aves; Passeriformes; Turdidae. The record is from RefSeq and is a predicted model, not a curated record.